GACGAACGCUGGCGGCGUGCUUAACACAUGCAAGUCGAACGGAAAGGCCUUGCUUGCAGAGUACUUGAGUGGCGAACGGGUAAGUAACAGGUGGGUGAUCUGCCAUGCACUUCGGGAUACGCGUGGGAAACUGGGACUAAUACCGGAUAGGACCGCACUUUAGUGUGUGUGGGGGAAAGUUUUUUCGGUGUAGGGUGAGCUCGCGGCCUAUCAGCUUGUUGGUGGGGUAAUGGCCUACCAAGGCGGCGACGGGUAGCCGGCCUGGGAGGGUGUACGGCCACAUUGGGACUGAGGUACGGCCCAGACUCCUACGGGAGGCAGCAGUGGGGAAUAUUUCACAAUGGGCGCCAGCCUGAUGCAGCGGCGCCGCGUGGGGGGUGAAGGCCUUCGGGUUGUAAACUCCUUUCGCUAGGGACGAAGCUUUUUGUGACGGUACCUAGAGAAGAAGCACCGGCUAACUACGUG
This 465-nucleotide ribosomal RNA is filed under the name uncultured bacterium. RNAcentral's name for it is "partial 16S ribosomal RNA". It matches the Rfam family "Bacterial small subunit ribosomal RNA", at positions 28 to 507 of the family's 1533-position model. The record is from RNAcentral.